Molecule: ribosomal RNA, 87 nt
Filed under: Bacillus licheniformis
Lineage: Bacteria; Bacillati; Bacillota; Bacilli; Caryophanales; Bacillaceae
Also listed under: 1 other name
Source: RNAcentral
CGUUCCCAUGCCGAACACGGAAGUUAAGCUCUUCAGCGCCGAUGGUAGUUGGGGGCUUCCCCCUGUGAGAGUAGGACGCCGCCAAGC